RNAcentral lists this ribosomal RNA (355 nucleotides) under uncultured bacterium. Its description in RNAcentral is "partial 16S ribosomal RNA". It matches the Rfam family "Bacterial small subunit ribosomal RNA", at positions 338 to 710 of the family's 1533-position model. The record is from RNAcentral.
CCUACGGGUGGCAGCAGUAGGGAAUAUUGCUCAAUGGGGGAAACCCUGAAGCAGCAACGCCGCGUGGGGGAAGAAGGUUUUCGGAGCGUAAACUCCUUUUGUUAGAGAAGAAAAUGACGGUACCUAACGAAUAAGCACCGGCUAACUCCGUGCCAGCAGCCGCGGUAAUACGGAGGGUGCAAGCGUUAUUCGGAAUGACUGGGCGUAAAGUGGGCGUAGGCGGGACAGCAAGUCAGAUGUGAAAUCCUAUGGCUGAACCAUGGAACUGCAUUUGAAACUGGUGUUCUAGAGUACGGGAGAGGUAGGGGGAAUUCUUGGUGUAGGGGUAAAAUGCGUAGAUAUCAGGAGGAACACU